GAAACAACCUUGAUUUAUGGCAGUCCCAUCACCUCGGGCCUUUCACUGUGUCCCACGCUAGAGCAAGCUUUGGCUCUGAACCACUGACUGGCCUCUAUCCGUAGGCUGCUGGCAGUGAAGUGGGUUGCACAGUA
Molecule: small nucleolar RNA, 134 nt
Filed under: Castor canadensis (American beaver)
Lineage: Eukaryota; Metazoa; Chordata; Mammalia; Rodentia; Castoridae
Description: Small nucleolar RNA SNORA42/SNORA80 family (ENSCCNG00000025983.1)
Rfam family: Small nucleolar RNA SNORA42/SNORA80 family
About the family: The members of this family belong to the H/ACA class of snoRNAs that guide the sites of modification of uridines to pseudouridines. Human ACA42 (SNORA42) was cloned from HeLa cells by immunoprecipitation with anti-GAR1 antibody.
Source: Rfam by way of RNAcentral